GAACCGUCAACGCGAUGCGACUGCAUUAACGGGCACGGACAAGAAAAAAGAACUGAAGAAAAGCACUGGUGGAGGUUGGUUGUACCUUCCAUCUGUGAAGCUUCUGGUUGAUGGAGUCUGGCUGAGAGAGUGAGAGUACCAGUCGCAAGUUCCCAGCGAGCUAGUCCAUCAGCAAAACCCCACGCCAGAGGCCACGAUGAAGAUGGUUCCCAGCAUAAGAUAAGGACUCCUCCAAUGCGUUUCUCGCCUGUCAUUAGUGAAGAGGCUUUCUCCCAACGGCCGGUCACCUUAAG
Molecule: long non-coding RNA, 293 nt
Organism: Eleginops maclovinus (Patagonian blennie)
Lineage: Eukaryota; Metazoa; Chordata; Actinopteri; Perciformes; Eleginopidae
Exons: 4
Source: RefSeq, a predicted model, not a curated record